GGGGGCGAUCCGGAUUUCGACGUGGAUUACAAAACCUGAGGCGCAUGCCGAGGAUGCAGCUUGCCUCGUAAAACAUGCUGCAAUUCAUAGUUGCCAACGACGACAGCUACGCACUAGCGGCUUAAAGCCCGCUAGCCCUUGACCGAAACUUGCUUGUGAGGUUCGGAGCCUUUCGGGGCGCUCAGGGGUCGACUAACGCAAGCUCGCGCCAAACCUGUCCAGGGGAGCGGCGUUAAAACCUAACUGGAACCGCCGUUCGCCGCCCUGCCGGUCGGGUUGCGAAAGGUUAAAUUAAAGACCUGGCUAAGCAUGUAGUGCCAAGGGCGGAGGAUUUGCGGACGGGGGUUCAAUUCCCCCCGCCUCCACCA
This 368-nucleotide transfer-messenger RNA is filed under the name Candidatus Competibacteraceae. RNAcentral describes it as "Contendobacter sp012031845 Standard tmRNA". It matches the Rfam family "transfer-messenger RNA". From Rfam's summary of the family: Bacterial tmRNA, also known as 10Sa RNA or SsrA, is named for its dual tRNA and mRNA-like properties. Its role is to liberate the mRNA from a stalled ribosome. RNAcentral also lists the same sequence under 1 other name. Lineage: Bacteria; Pseudomonadati; Pseudomonadota; Gammaproteobacteria. The record is from RNAcentral.